Molecule: ribosomal RNA, 484 nt
Filed under: uncultured bacterium
Lineage: Bacteria
Description: partial 16S ribosomal RNA
Rfam family: Bacterial small subunit ribosomal RNA
Source: RNAcentral
AUUGAACGCUGGCGGCAUGCUUUACACAUGCAAGUCGAACGGCAGCGCGGGCUUCGGCCUGGCGGCGAGUGGCGAACGGGUGAGUAAUACAUCGGAACGUGCCCAGUAGUGGGGGAUAGCUCGGCUAAAGCCGGAUUAAUACCGCAUACGACCUGAGGGUGAAAGCGGGGGAUCUUCGGACCUCGCGCUAUUGGAGCGGCCGAUGGCAGAUUAGCUAGUUGGUGGGGUAAAGGCCUACCAAGGCGACGAUCUGUAGCUGGUCUGAGAGGACGACCAGCCACACUGGGACUGAGACACGGCCCAGACUCCUACGGGAGGCAGCAGUGGGGAAUUUUGGACAAUGGGCGAAAGCCUGAUCCAGCAAUGCCGCGUGUGUGAUGAAGGCCUUCGGGUUGUAAAGCACUUUUGGCGGGAACGAAAAGGACUGUGCCAAUACCACGGUUCGAUGACGGUACCCGCAGAAUAAGCCCCGGCUAACUACGUG